RNAcentral lists this ribosomal RNA (776 nucleotides) under uncultured Neocallimastigales. Its description in RNAcentral is "partial large subunit ribosomal RNA". It matches the Rfam family "Eukaryotic large subunit ribosomal RNA", at positions 23 to 639 of the family's 3401-position model. The record is from RNAcentral. Lineage: Eukaryota; Fungi; Neocallimastigomycota; Neocallimastigomycetes; Neocallimastigales.
AGAGAGAGACAUGCGUGCAUAUCAAUAAGCGGAGGAAAAGAAACUAACUAAGGAUUCCCUCAGUAACGGCGAGUGAAGCGGGAAGAGCUCAAAUUUGAAAUCUUCAAGGUUCUACCUUGACGAAUUGUAGUUUAAAGAAGUGUUUUCUGUUGGAGUUUUGGUAAAAGUUCUUUGGAAUAGGACAUCAUAGAGGGUGGAGAAUCCCGUAUUUGACCAUUAUUUCCAGCUUUGUGAUACACUCUCAAAGAGUCGGAUUGUUUGGGAAUGCAGUCCAAAAUGGGUGGUAAAUUUCAUCUAAAGCUAAAUAUUGGCGAGAGGCCGAUAGCGAACAAGUACCGUGAGGGAAAGAUGAAAAGAACUUUGAAAAGAGAGUUAAACAGUACGUGAAAUUGUCAAAAGGGAAGCGUUUGACACCAGUGUUGUUUUCUCGAAAAUCAAUUAAAAAAGGCAGGAUUUUGUGUUGUAUUGACUUUAUCAGCUUUCUGCACUCUUUUCUUGUCUUUUUUAAUGCACUUUUCGUUUAACAAGUCAACAUCAAUUUCUUUUGUUGUAAAAGGGUCAUUGGAAGGUGGCUUUCUUUUCGGAGAAAGUGUUUAUAGCCUUUGGCCUCUGCAAUCGGAGAGAUUGAGGUCUGCAGCGUAGAUCCUUCGGGGUUAGAUACAUUUGUGCUAAGUUAUAGCCUUUCAUAGACAACUUGUUGACUAUGAUCAGUCAUGUAGCUUACUCGCUUAUGCUAUUUUACCUACGCUUAGGAUGUUGAUGUGAUACUGCGAGCA